AAGCCCGAUUUAAAACUCGAGCGAACUUUAGUGGUCCAGUACCAGAAAGAGGCCUUGAAGGCAAGAACCUGGUCUUGAGUCACUUUCUCUGGUGUAGCCAAUAAGUCUCCCUCGUUCAGGUCUCUGCCACAAGGACCAUAGUUGUAGUUCCAAGAGAGCUGGAUCGCACCACGACCGUAGUAGCCCUUUCCUGGUACACAUGGGAACUCUGUUUUUUCUGGGUUACAGUAAUCUCCAGCUGCGGCCUUGGCUGGUCCACCAACUUCCUCAAUGCCGCACAUGACUGCAACAAGGUAUAUAACCAAAUGAUUAAAAAACGAAUCCUAGUGGUAAUCAAACUGAUCACUAAAUUAAAGAAAGGUGAGAGAAAACCCUAAUCUCUGCUUCUUUUUCGGCGGCCGCCGCCUCGUGCGGUCGCCGGAUCCGCCUUUCGUCCUCUUGUGUGUCUAUGUGUUUCUCUCAAUCUCUUCUCUGUCCCCUUCGUUUUUCUGCAGUAGUGUCGUAGUGAAUGAGUUUUUGCUUGAAGUUCAGAUCCGGUGUUGCUCUCUUCAGAUCUGGAAGUUUCCGGCGUUUGGAGUUGCUUGAGGAUGACCUCUCUCUCUGUCGUGUUCGUCCUCUAUUCUUGUUGCAGACUCUGCGAUUGGUUUUCUCUGUUCCAGCUGGUGCUUCGUGGGUCUCACGAUGGGUUGGGGUUCUAGGUUUCACCAUUCGUGUAAGAUUUGUGCUCUCUAUUGGUUUGAGGUUCCUUUGUUGGUUCUCCGGGAGUUUCUGGCUCCUAGUGGAGAGAUGGUUUUGUCGUUCGUUUCCGGUUCCUAAUGGAGCUACGGUCUUUGUGUGUUUGUUGACUUGCUCUAUCUCCUGCGACUUUCUGAUUGGCAGGUUGGUUACAUUUUCAGCGGCCACUGUUAGGUUAUCAUAAGCCAUAAUUAGUGAGAAUUGUUCUUUUAGAGAAGGAUCUCAAAAAUUUGUGUUCUUUUCUAGCCACUACUGUGGAUAAAAAAGGAGCCAGUUUAAAAGAUCUGAGUUUGUGUUUUAACAAUCUGUACCCUAAUUUUGGAUCUUCGAUAUCAAAGACAAAUGGCACAUAACUGUGUCAUCUCCGUGAUCUCAUUUGUUCAUGCUUAAUACUUAAAACAUGACAUGGAUUUUUAGUUCAUCGCUAAUAGUGUCACAAGUAGUCACCGUUAUCAUGCGUAUCUUGCGACAUGUGGUCCUCAAUGGCUUGACCUCACUAUCUGAGAAGAGGCAUCCAAUGAUGGCGUAUAGUUACAUGGAUGUGGCGCUGUGGAUAUUAUGUUCUCCAUGCAGUUAUCCUUCGCUUCUUUAGUCCACUGCGAUUUGAUAUGACACCUAAUGGUGUAUUCUUUUUACUUUCUAUAUUAUGUUUCUUGUUUUUCCUCAAUCCUCUGUUUGUGAGGUGUGUGUGCUUCAGGGGGCUCAUUUGUUAAACUAUUUGUUAUUGAAUACAAUCAGCGUUAAAAAAAAAAAGAAACACUGUUUCAUAAAAAGUCUAAUUUUGAUACUAUUCACAUAAGUUAAGAAAAAGGUUAAAAUCAAUGUGUGCCCUUAAGAAUCAUUUAUUUAGUUAAUAGUCUCUGAGAAAAUUAAAUAUAUUUAUAAAAUAAAAACAUUUUUACAAUAAAUACGAAGGUUAAGACAGGUAGAAUUUUAUACAAAAUUAUCUUAGAAUGUUCUAAAAUGACACAUUUUUAUAAUCAACACAUUUUGUCAAGAAAAAGUGUCAAAACAACACUAUAUGAAACAAAGGAGUAUAUGUUUAUAAUCCUAAAAUGAAACGAAUAAUAAAUACACUACAAAAUAAUCUAAUAUCCAUAUAUGAAAAUUGGAAACUCGAGAGAAUUAUCAAAAUAAUGUUAUAGUUCCAAAAAAGAAAUUAUGAAUUUAAUUAUGUAGAGAAUUACUUGCACCAGGUGGAUUUGUUCCUGGUUCGGUUCUUGAUUUAACUCGGGUUUGUUCAAUUUUCUGGUUCAAUUUGGUUUCCAUCUUUAGUAUGUAUUGAGCUUUUAGAAUAAAAUACUGGGCUGGGCCUAGAGUAAUAAUUUCUUACAAGAAAACCUUUCAUAUUACAAACAAAUCAAUUUUAGCACGUUUUUCAGGCAUAUGAUAAACUUAAAAAAGUAGUUACAACUCAUAUAUAUACAUGUAUGUAUAUAUAUUUAAAAUACUGAGUGAUGGCAGCUAAAUAACUUUAAUGAUUUACUUUUUGCUCCAACGACAAAGAUAAAUCGCACACCCGGGUUCAUUUUACACAUACAUUAACUCCAAAGUUCUAUAGAGAGAGAGUAAAGAGCAGACAUAGAGACGGAGAUAAGAUGGCCAUGGCAACAAAAUCAGUUUCUUCCUUCACCCUCAUUUUCAUCCUCGUUUUGGUUAUUUUUGGUAAAGCAACUAACACCUAUUUUUACCAAAAACAAACAAAACUAAUACCGCAUUUAUUUCACAUAUUUAUUUAACUCUGUCUGGUUCAUAGGAUCUCAAGAGUUUUAAUCAUGCAGCGCGUUUUAUCAUAGUAUGUGCUUACUAUUUUCUAAAACAUUCUAUAUAUCUAAUGAGCAGAAGUGCCGGAGAUAAAAGCGCAGGAUAGCGAGUGCCUGAAAGAAUACGGAGGCAACGUGGGUUUCAACUUCUGUGCGCCUCGGAUUUAUCCGUCGUUUUGUUAUACAAGAUGCCGUGAGGACAAGGGCGCGAAAGGUGGGAUAUGCCGUUGGGGAGAUUCCCCUGAUUCUGUUAAAUGCUUAUGCGAAUACUGCAGCGACCAAAUUUCUCACCAGAUUCUAAGUGGCGGUAUUUGAAUCAUUCAUGCGUGAUGGUUUGUGUAAUAAUAAAAUGCGUGAGCGGUGAUCUAAGUAAUGAUGUAACAAUGAAUAUGUGAAAUAAAAAGCCUGGAAGUACUAAGUCUCGCAUGGUUUGGAAUUUUGGUUAAAGAUAUGGGUAUUGUGGUGGAGAGGCGAAGAGAGUAAUUAUGAUGGAAUAAUUCAUGGUUCGGUUGUUUGUUAGAACUUUCUGGUUCAGUUCGGUUAGGCAAAGAAAAUAUUUAGUUUGCCCCUACAUGUCCAGAUUCCAGAUCCAGCGCCAAACAGUGACCUUUAUUUAGAGACCUGCCACUUAAGUGAAUGUGACCAUUUGAUGACACAGUAGAUUCAUUCAGCUAAUUAAUAUUAUUACAAGAUCAUAAUAAAUCCGUCAAGAAGAUUGAUCCAAAAGAAAAAAAUCAGUCAAGAAGAUCAAAUUAUUCAGGCUUUUGUAUGGAUCUGUUCAAGAAUUUUCCCUAAUGGAACCAUAGCCACAUAAUUAGCAGUAACUUGCAACAUUUGAAACCUUAUACAUAGAUCUGGGCGACGGGGAUGAGAAUACGGUUUCGUCAGCUAUUCAUUUGGUUUGGUUCAGUUCGUUACCUGAAAACCAAUCGAGGACUAGGGACCUGUCCAACUUUGGUAUCUUGGUACACAAAAAUUCGAACACGAUAUCUUAUAUAUUAAAACAGAAGUCACAACUUUGAUUCAUGUGUGAUUUUUAAAAAAAAUGGAUCUAAUGAACCUAUUUUUCAGAAGUCACAACUUUGAUUCAUAUGUAAUUUUUUAAAAAAUGGAUCUAAUGAACCUAUUUUUAAAAAAUCAUGUUACAUUUAAUUUCUAAUCUUAUUAUUUAAAUUUUGGGUCUACCAGAAAUUUUUAUUCGGCUAUCAAUAAUUAGAUUUAAAAAAUAGAUGAUUCAUUAGAUUUAUAGAUAGUAUAAAUUAAAUAGAUAUAAUUUAAUGUUGUAAUACUAUACAUCCAUAUGUUAAUUAUUUAAAUAUUUGUCGAUGUUGACUUUUUAAAAUUAUAAAUAUUUUUUUUUAAAUAACAAAAAUCAUAUUAUCUAACAAUGAUUAAUCUUUACUACCUUAAACCAAUGAAAACAAAUUUUAAACUAUAUAGUUUAUUUUAAAAAUUAAACAAAAACUAAAUGUUUAAUUAUUUACUCGAUAAUAUAAAUCUACGAAGCAAAAAGUUUAAUUUUUUAAGAACUAUAUAUUUGUGAAAUGUUAUAGUAUCUUUGAAUAUGACAAUAAAAAAAUAUUUUACUAAUCUUUAUAUAUAUAGUUAUGAUUUUAAUAAUAAAAUAAUAAUCCAAAAAUAUAUAUAUAUAAGAAGAUACAAAUACAUGUGAAAGUCAAUGAAAAAAAUAUACUGUAAACUUAUUAUGUUUUAAAAAUUGAUAGACACAUAUAUAUUAUAAUAUAUACCAAUUUAGAAUUGAAAACAAAAUAUUUAUAUAAAAAUAAAUUAAAAAAAUUCAAAUAAGUUUUGAAAGAAGCUAUAAAUUCAAAUAAUCAAUCUAUUGAUAUUUUGAAAGAUUGAAACUAAUGAAAAGUAAAAUUUGGGCCCUAUAGUCGGAUGAAAUUAUUUAAUAUGGUGGACCGUACGUUACUUGUCUACACAGACCACUCGUUCUGAUAUUUCUUAUCAGAAUGGUUUAUUUGGGUUACAACGUGCAACUAAGUUAAAUGAUCGCUACACGAUUUAGCUGCAGUUCAAAGUUUCAUUCUUCUGUUAAAAUUGCAUGUGUCUGCUUGUGUGUGUCAUCGUCGACAUGUUCAUGUGUGGUAUUAAAACGAGUUCGCUUCAGUUUGUGUUUUCUGUUCGUUUGUGUUUAACAGUAAACGAAUUGAAGCUAGGAGUGACAUCUUAUGAAUAUUCAUGCAUUUAAAUGGAAACACAGAGAUACAUCCAAUGUGUGUUGGUGAUAAGUUCACAAUAAUGGAACCUCUGUCCUAAAAUCCAAUGUGACUAGGCAUAAAUGGAAAUCGUUUCAUGAUUACAUUAUUACAACAACAUUACUAUACUAGUAUGAUACUUUCUCUUCUGUGGUGUCUUAUUCGUAUAUUGCCAACAUUGGCUGUUUCAGAUGCAUAGAGAGAAACCUUAACAAGUGAGGUUUUCUCCAGGCUGAACUCCAAGCUUGCCACAAUAGUCCUGGAAGUACCUAACCCUGUUGGCAGCUUUCUCUGUAGAAUCUCCUCCGCUACACUCCCUACUAUUCACAGCCCUGAUGGUCGCCCCAAAGCCCGAUUUAAAGCUCGAGCGAACAUUAGUGGUCCAGUACCAGAAAGAGGCCUUGAAGGCAAGAACCUGGUUUUGAGCCACUUUCUCUGGUGUAGCCAAUAAGUCUCCCUCGUUCAGGUCUCUGCCACAGGGACCAUAGUUGUAGUUCCAAGAGAGCUGGAUCGCACCACGACCAUAGUAACCCUUUCCUUGUACACAUGGGAACUCUGGUUUUGUUGUGUCACAGUAUUCUCCACGUG
Molecule: long non-coding RNA, 5305 nt
Filed under: Brassica napus (rape)
Lineage: Eukaryota; Viridiplantae; Streptophyta; Magnoliopsida; Brassicales; Brassicaceae
Description: long non-coding RNA (BNAP_LNC014843)
Source: RNAcentral